This 252-nucleotide ribosomal RNA is filed under the name uncultured bacterium. RNAcentral's name for it is "partial 16S ribosomal RNA". It matches the Rfam family "Bacterial small subunit ribosomal RNA", at positions 524 to 776 of the family's 1533-position model. The record is from RNAcentral.
UACAGAGGUCUCAAGCGUUGUUCGGAUUCAUUGGGCGUACAGGGUGCGUAGGCGGCGCGGUAAGUCGGGUGUGAAAUCUCGGGGCUUAACUCCGAAACUGCAUUCGAUACUGCCGUGCUUGAGGACUGGAGAGGAGACUGGAAUUUACGGUGUAGCGGUGAAAUGCGUAGAUAUCGUAAGGAAGACCAUUGGCGAAGGCGGGUCUCUGGACAGUUCCUGACGCUGAGGCACGAAGGCCAGGGAGCAAACGGG